RNAcentral lists this ribosomal RNA (253 nucleotides) under uncultured bacterium. RNAcentral's name for it is "partial 16S ribosomal RNA". It matches the Rfam family "Bacterial small subunit ribosomal RNA", at positions 524 to 776 of the family's 1533-position model. The record is from RNAcentral.
GACGUAGGGCGCGAGCGUUGUCCGGAAUUAUUGGGCGUAAAGCGUGCGUAGGCGGUUCGCUGUGUCCGAUGUGAAAGCCCCGGGCUUAACCUGGGAAUGGCAUUGGAAACUGGCGGGCUUGAGUGUGGCAGAGGGGGGUGGAAUUCCGCGUGUAGCAGUGAAAUGCGUAGAGAUGCGGAGGAACACCGAUGGCGAAGGCAGCCCCCUGGGUUAACACUGACGCUCAGGCACGAAAGCGUGGGGAGCAAACAGG